UACGUAUGGAGCAAGCGUUAUCCGGAUUUACUGGGUGUAAAGGGAGCGCAGGCGGCUUUGCAAGUCUGAUGUGAAAGGCCGGGGCUCAACCCCGGGACUGCAUUGGAAACUGUAAAGCUAGAGUGCCGGAGAGGUAAGCGGAACUCCAUGUGUAGCGGUGAAAUGCGUAGAUAUAUGGAAGAACACCAGUGGCGAAAGCGGCUCUCUGGUCUGUAACUGACGCUGAGGUUCGAAAGCGUGGGUAGCAAACAGG
RNAcentral lists this ribosomal RNA (253 nucleotides) under uncultured bacterium. Its description in RNAcentral is "partial 16S ribosomal RNA". It matches the Rfam family "Bacterial small subunit ribosomal RNA", at positions 524 to 776 of the family's 1533-position model. The record is from RNAcentral.